Long non-coding RNA from Dinoponera quadriceps, 3383 nucleotides. RefSeq lists it as uncharacterized. The record is from RefSeq and is a predicted model, not a curated record. The transcript has 3 exons. Lineage: Eukaryota; Metazoa; Arthropoda; Insecta; Hymenoptera; Formicidae.
UCAUAGAGAGUUUAUUUAUACUAGUCAUCAGUAAGUCAUUUUUUUUUAAGUUUCUUCAAAGGUGCUCAGAUGUCCUAUUGUUUUAUUUAAAACUUGUAAGUAGUUUGUUACCGUAUGCUUUAGUGUCUCCUGGUUAAUUUCCAAUAGACUCAAUUGUUCGUUUAUUAACUUUCAUCAUUCGCGUCCAUUAUUCCGAAUAAGGUUUUUGUUAUAGAUCCUAUUCCAUCAAUUAUUCCUUAUCGUAAAUUAGCGGUGCUUUUGUAUAUAUUAUUUAUAUUGUCAAUCGUAUUUCGUAUUCGUCCUAAAUUUUUUUCUGUGAUUUUGCGCGAGUUCACACAUAUAUGCUAUGAACGGCAUAUUAACAUUGUUUGAUGGUGAUAUUCUUUUAUUUGGUUGUAACGGUGGUUCAGGGAUUCAAUAUCCAGUUUAAUUACCAUCUUCCAAGUCGCGGCUACUUGGUGAAGUUUUCCCCAUUUAUCAAAGCCCUGGUGUAUUGCAAAAUUCUUGAAGUGUGUAGGGUUGCUUUUCCUCGAGCUCGCUUGUAUAUUUAACACUACUGAAUAUGGUCAUCCUGCAACUAGAUAGUGAAGGAGGAAUGUGAGGUGAAUUAUGCUUUCGUCCGAUAUUUAUACUUUUUUGCUGUAGCCGUCUUUUGUUCGUGUGUAAUGUUCAGCUAUAACUAAAUUUGUUUGUGGUGGUUUCAUUUUGCUUAGACUAUGGUUUCACGGGUCCUCUUAUCUUUCAGUGUCAGCGUUUUUCAAUCAUAUACCACGGUGUGUUAAGGUGGUUUUAGAUCGACAGUUCAGUAGCUCGCUGGCUAUAGAAAUGUGUUGUCCUUAUUGUCCCGGUCGGAGAGAAGAAGUGAUUCGGUGUGCUUGCGGCGAGGUGGUGCCGGGGAUUGUCCUUCAAGUUUUUCAGGAAUUACGACUCCCAAGGGCAAUCAUUCUUCCAGUGAUGGAGGGAAAAGGCGGGCAGCCUCGAGUCCCUCGACGUCGCUUGGGUACCGAUGUUCGGGAUGGUUCCGCAAGACGAGGACCGACUCGCGGCUUGUUAGACGCGGUAGCGGACGGGGUGAAUGGGAGGGAGUGGUUGGAAUGAAUAGACGGGCUCUCGGACGGGGUCACGGACGUCCUAUUGGCCCCCCUUAGAGUACGGUCUUAAGUCGAGAAGAUCUCGCUAGGGCAGAGGCUUUGGCCAACGAAGAAUGUAGCGUUAGGUACAUAGCCAAUGUACUGGUGGUGCCCCGCUCUAUCAUCCGCGAUGGUGUACAGCGGUUUAGGGCCACCAGAAGUCUCGAUCGAAGAGAAGAUAGUGAUCGACUGCAAUGUACGGCUGGAGACGAUCGUUUUAUUGCUCUUACCAUACUACGGAACCGUCAUUUCACGGCUUCUGAAGUAAGCAGUCAACUCGAAACUGUCCGUAAUGUAAGAGUGAGCUCUAAAACAGUUAUUAGACGGCUUCGUGAAAAUUACCUUGCGUCUAAACGUCCCGCAUCAGGUCCUCUACUACUGGAGAGGUAUCAAGUAGAAAGGUGACAAUUCGCAAAUCAACAUCUCGCUUGGACACAUGAACAGUGGGGAGUUGUUCUCUUCACAGAGGAGUGCCGGUUUGGUAUGGGGCAAUUAGUUGACCGGGACCGUGUGUGGAAAGGAUAUGGAGAGCGCUUUGCUCCAUGAGCCAUGUGCGAGUCACAGCCUUUUAAAUUACAAUCAGUUAUGGUAUGGGGUGAAAUCAAUGUCCAUGCCCGUACCGAACUGCUUGUCAUACAGAAUGGAUCUUUGACUGCACUAAGGUAAAUUGAGGAAGUUCUUCUGGAAGCUGUGGUCCCAUUUGCUGCAUUUAUUAUGGAAAAUUUCGUGUUAAUGCAUGAUAAUUCUCGACCGCAAGUAGCUCGAGUUGUCACUCAAUACAUGGAGGAAGUAGUGAUUACCAAAAUGAAUUGGCCAGCAUGUUCUCCUGACAUGAAUCCCAUAGAACACUUAUGGGACAUGAUAAAGAGACGCAUUAGACAUCGUUCACCGCUUCUAAUAAACGUUGAACAGCUUCAAACUAUGCUUGUUGAAGAGUGGGACUCUGUUUCACAAGACGAAAUCCGGACGCGCAUUUACUUAAUGCCUAGGAAACUCGAGGCCCUCCGCAAGGCUAGAGGAGGAAAUACGCGGUAUUAAGAGUGAAAUCGAUGAGAAUUGUUGCUUAAAUUUUAUUUUUUCACUUAAUUAAUUUUAAUUUAGUUUUCAGCUGUUUUGGCAAAUUUGCUUUCAAGCAAUCUUUUUAUUAAAACUCAUGAAUUUCUGACCUCGUUAACUUUCAUUUACAUUAUACUUAAGUACAACAUACGUUUAAUUUAACAAUAACGACAAAAAUACGAAUAGUUUGAAAUAAACAACAAAAUAACCGAGUGUCCGGUUUUUUUUUCCCUGAGUGUAUAUAUAUAAUUAGCAAUUAUCGCCGCUAUACAAUUACAAAAUUCACGCACACAUAAUAUUAAAUAAAGCAAGAAUGUACUGGAAUUCAUCUCACCAUAACUAAGCUCGCAGUGAAAGAGCAUUCAUGUCUAAAAUUUAUUUAAGAGACAUAAUACUGAAUGUCGAACCAAUCAUAUUAUUAGAACAUCACUGACAAGGACCCCGAAUUAAAAAUGAAACGAUAAAUUAACAUGUACCAUCAUAAAGCGAUCGGGCAAACCACGUGAUUCUCAGAAUUUUCUAUCUGUUUGGCAUAACAUAAACAUCUUGGAAGACUUUAUCUGCCUUUCGAAUAAAUCUCAUGUUAUUCGGGCAACAUUAUCUUUGUCAAUAGAAUAAUUCAUUAACGACAUGGCCACCGAUCUACUUUGAUAUCUUCCGAAGCGCGAGCCCCCAAUCCGGUGCUCUCCCCACAUUUGUCGUUGAAGAGUAUAAAAACCCGCGCGCUGCAACCCCUGGGGUUUAUUUAUUAAUCUUUUCAUCCGUUCGUUUGUUUUUUUUUUGCAACAACCAGUUUUAAUAAUUCGACACAAUAUUACCUCUAGAGAGGCUUACUUUCUCAUACGAGGUUAGUCGGUCUGCUCCCUGAGAAUCGAGCGGUUAUAUAAACGCUUCCGGCAACUCAGGCAAUUUAAAUAACAGAGCAGUGAGUUCCAAUCCUAUCGCCUUCACAGCGAGACUCUACUGAGUGUGCACGAAUCUAGUAACAGCCGUCCGUAGCGUAAGUCUUGUUUUAUAUACUCUUAAAAUAAAGUUGAUAUUGCGAUUCCGGGCGAAUCUUCCGACGUAUGAAGUGCCUUGUGUUUUAUUCCAACGCUGCAUCUCAAACCUAUGAACAGAUAGAGCUCUAAUUAAUUAACGAUAAUUCUUGGAGUCUUGCCUAGAGUCUAUCCAGGUGUAAUAAAGCAAGUAGGUCUG